Molecule: ribosomal RNA, 443 nt
Filed under: uncultured bacterium
Lineage: Bacteria
Description: partial 16S ribosomal RNA
Rfam family: Bacterial small subunit ribosomal RNA
Source: RNAcentral
CCUACGGGAGGCAGCAGUGGGGAAUAUUGGUCAAUGGAGGAAACUCUGAACCAGCAACGCCGCGUGAGUGAUGAAGGUCUUCGGAUUGUAAAGUUCUUUUCUAAGGGAAGCAGAUAGUGACGGUACCUUCGGAAUAAGCCUCGGCUAACUACGUGCCAGCAGCCGCGGUAAUACGUCGGAGGCAAGCGUUAUCCGGAAUGACUGGGCGUAAAGGGUGCGUAGGUGGUUUGGCAAGGUAGUAGCGUAAACCCGGGGCUCAACCUCGGAACUACUGCUAAAACUGGCGGACUUGAGUGCGGGAGAGGCAAUGUGAAUGCGUAGUGUAGCGGUGGAAUGCGUAGAUAUUAGGAGGAACACCAGUGGCGAAGGCGAAAUGCUGGACCGAAACUGACACUGAGGCACGAAAGCGUGGGGAGCGAACAGGAUUAGAUACCCGUGUAGUC